Molecule: RNase P RNA, 438 nt
Filed under: Ignavibacteria bacterium
Lineage: Bacteria; Pseudomonadati; Ignavibacteriota; Ignavibacteria
Description: RNase P RNA component class A
Rfam family: Bacterial RNase P class A
About the family: Ribonuclease P (RNase P) is a ubiquitous endoribonuclease, found in archaea, bacteria and eukarya as well as chloroplasts and mitochondria. Its best characterised activity is the generation of mature 5'-ends of tRNAs by cleaving the 5'-leader elements of precursor-tRNAs. Cellular RNase Ps are ribonucleoproteins.
Source: RNAcentral
GGUUCGUGUUAGGCAGUUGCUUCCCGAAUUAUCGGGAGGAGGAAAGUCCGAACUCCGCAGAACAAGGUGCCGGGUAACACCCGGGGACUUAAUUGCGCAAGUAUUAAGUCACGGAGAGUGCCACAGAAAACAUACCGUCCCAACUUAAAUUGGGAUAAGGGUGAAAAGGCGAGGUAAGAGCUCACCGCUUCGAUGGUAACAUCGAGGGUUCCGAAGGGAAUCCCGCUUAGCGGGACGAGGCAAACCCCACCUGGUGCAAGGUCAAGCAAAAGGAUCUCGAGAAAUCGGGACAAGGUUGUUCGCCUUGAUUAUCUGUUUAAUCAGAUUAAUCUUUUGGGUAGACCGCUAGAUUCCGGGAGUAAUUCCGGAACAAGAUAAAUAACUGCUGUCUGGAAUUAAUCCGGAUUACAGAAUUCGGCUUAUUGACACGAACUUUCU